GGUCUUUAGCAGUCCAUGUACUAAAAUUAAAGCAACACUGAGAAGAUUAGAUGGCCCUUGUUCAAGGAUGGCAUGCAAAGUCAGUAAUAGAUUUGAAAUCUUA
Cricetulus griseus (Chinese hamster) is the source of this 103-nucleotide small nuclear RNA. The record is from Ensembl. Lineage: Eukaryota; Metazoa; Chordata; Mammalia; Rodentia; Cricetidae.